This is a long non-coding RNA of Helianthus annuus (common sunflower), 3176 nucleotides long. RefSeq lists it as uncharacterized. The transcript is spliced from 9 exons. The record is from RefSeq and is a predicted model, not a curated record. NCBI's taxonomy places the organism in Eukaryota, Viridiplantae, Streptophyta, Magnoliopsida, Asterales, Asteraceae.
GACCAAAUGAUCCAAAUGGAUUCUUUAUAUCCCAGUUUCAUUCUCUUCAUCUCUAUCGUCACCUUCAAAACCCUAACGCCGCUACUCAUCAUCUUCAGCAAAUCCAAAAAUCUUCUUCAGCAAAUCGACAAAUGCCAAUUAGGGUUUUUCACCCGAUUAGGGUUUUUCCACAUAAACUGGAUCCAUAUGCGGUACUGUGACGCUUCCACAUUCCACAUCAUCUUCAUCUUCUUCUGGUUUCUUCCCCUCUGUAUUCUCCAGCUUAUUCAGGAAUCAAUUUAAUAGUUUUCCUCAACAAAUCCUUAAUAAGAUUACUUUCUGCCGCCUAAUUAUCCAGCCACUGAUUUCAGAUAUGCGUGGAGUAUUUGAUUGAAGGUUCAUAUCUUGAAGUUGGUAAAAGUCUCAACAAUUGGGAUGUCUUUUCUCUUUUAUAUAUUUAAUUUAGGUUUUAUUUAUCCAUUUUUAUGUCAAUUUGUGUAUUUUCGUGUUUGUUUUUAAUGUGCAGACAACAUUUGAAAUGGUGACAAUGGAUUUGUAGCUGCUAACCAGUAUCACCAAAUAUCUGGAAUCUAUCUUUUUUAUUAAUUUUUCUCUAAUCUAUAUAAAAAUGUUACUUUCAGUUCUGAAAAACUAUUUGAAUCUGAUUAACCAACAGUUAGAGACAUUUUUUUCUCUAUAUCAUGGUCAAUAAUUAUUCUAGGUUCGAUAUGCAACUUAAAAAUGUUAAAAAAAUACCGAAUAUAUAUGUUUGUUUAUCAAAAUCUUGCAUUUUUUGUUCUUUCUGACUUUAUCGGAUGUUCCCCGUUUUUAUGUGGGCCAUAUGGAUCACCUGUGGGAUACUAAUUCGGUUGUAGAUGCAAUGGAUUGUGCCUUGGAGCUGAUUAAAAGUUAGAGAAAACUUUCAUUUUGACAUGGAAAACAGUGAAUUACGCUACGCCUCAGCAGCAGCAGGAAUCCGAGAGGGUAUAUAUUUGUCGAAUAUUUUGAGGAAUGUGAAGUUUUGAUACUCUCUUAACAUGAUCGCAAAGGUAUGCAUGCUUUUCGAUCCAUUUCUCAACGCUUACGGUUGUAAAAAUGGUAUUCAGUUAGUAUAAUAUGAGAUUAUAGUAAAUUGGUUAGUACCAUAUGGUUGAAAUGACGAACAAAGUCUUUAAUUAGUUUUUAGGGUUACAGACGCAUCUAAAUAUUUGUAUUUGUGAUUAUUAUGUAAGUGGACAUAUGUAUGAGUUAUAGUUCUUAUCUUUGAUUUUUGAAUUGACUUUAAUGAGUGUCGUCUGAUUCUGAAAGUUUACAUAUAGAUUGGAGCUAAAAUUUAUAAACAUUUUAAAUGGAACUAUUGAAGAUUUCAAAUAUCUUUGUUUUUCUGGUAAUUGAUGGGUCGGUGGCUUAGAACGUGAUUUGUGGUACGCUGUGAUGGAUUAUGAUGAUGAUGAAAAUGAUUGUGAUGAUGCUGAAGGUGAGAGUAUGUGCUUUUUAACUGUGAAUAAAUUUGUAAUUCAUUGUUUAUUUGAUUAUUUUUGUUUCAUCAUCAGAUAACUGAGGUUCAAUCGAAAAGCUCUAUUGUCGGUUAAUCUCUAUGGCCUAUUCAACGUCAUUCAUGCUCAUCGUCUACAGGUUCAAAUCCAAACGAUGAUCGUUUUUAGUCUCUUCACCCCUAGAGGUGUACAAAUCAUGUUUUUUGGAAAAACCGGUCUGGUUAAAACCUAACUGAUAAUUUUAUUGUAAAAAGAAAACCGGUUUUUAGUAAUCGGAUCUGGUUACAAACCAGUUUUUUUUAACCUGAAACACAAACCAGUCCUAACCGAUUCAGUCCGGUUCUAAAACUGUUUCUUCAGAACCAAUUUGCCACCUGUAAGUUUUUUUUAUGAACCGAAAAAUCUACCUCUUUGACCCGUUGUAUUUAUUACACAUUUGACCCAUUAUCUGGUAAUAUUUGUUCAUUGAAUAUAUUAUAGUUUUUUAAGAAGAGACGUGUAAGUGCGUAUUAUAUGUUUUGAAUAUAUUAUAGAUUUUUAAGAAGAGACAUGUAAGUGCAUGUGCCAAUUUCUAUAGGUACUUUGGUGUUUCUAUGUCAAGGGUGUAUUAGAUGUAAUUCGAACUUUGUGGCCAGCCUCCCGUUGGUCGCUUUUUAUUAUUUAUUUAAAAAUUUUUGUUAUUCAAAUUUUAUAUGAUACACAAUAAUUGGAAUUUAAGUUGAUAUAUCAUGAAGUGGUUAUUAGUGCUGAUAUAUUCUUUUUCCAUUAACUUCUUUAUAAAAAAUAUAUACCCUAUGUGUUAUUGGCUUGGUUGCUGGAGAGGUGGCCUUCAAGGAUGAAGGAGGAAUCACUGUUGUUCAUUUAAGUCGCGUAUUCAGAAGAUAUUGUUGAUGUCAUGGAUGUACCGACUCCUUUUGGCACUGCAUUAUGUAUGGCAGCUGCCAUAAAGACAGACCAUGAAGCCAAGUGUCUAUUUAAUUUCGUUGCAGGUGGUAGGGAACUGGUGCAGAUACUGCUUGCUGCUGGAGUUGAUGCUACAUUUGCAAGACACCCAGCAUGGGCGGAUAGCUUUGCAUACUGAUGCAAUGACCAAACAGCGUUGGUUAAGAUCAUUCUUGAUGCUGGAGUUGAUGUGAACAUAAGAAAUGUGCAAAAACACAAUACCUCUACAUGUGGCAUUGGCAAGAGGAUCCAAUCAUGUGUUGGAAUGUGCAGAAACAAAUUGUAAUAUGCAGCAUCCUAUGAUUCCACCAUUCCAGUUCCUUAUCCAACAAUAUUCCCCGCCAUAAGUUUAUGUUCAUUUUGGCACACCUGUGGUAGUCCGCCAGAAGGUAGCAUCAAGUUUAAGAAAUGACAGUACCACUACUCAAAGGUGUUUCUUGGUCAAUGAAUUUGAUAGGCCUCUUUUUUACCACAUGACAUGGAUGUUAGGCAAAAGAGAAGGGUUGGCUGGAAGUGAUGGAAACAUAACAUAUGAUUUGAAGUCUUAUGGAUCAUGUUGUGGAAUAUGUGCUUUUGUAUCGGUGAUUAGUUCCAAAAGUGGUCAUACUGGUAGCGUUACAUAAUUUUAUUUAAGGUUGACGAAGAACCCAAGCUGCUUGGCAUGGUUAUUAUUAUUUUUUAGUUAGCAAAUUUUGGAUGCGUUUUAUGUUUUGUUGGAAACUUUAAAUGUUAUUAGCUAAAAAUAUAUUAUUUUAAUCA